AACGGACUUUCGCAACCUUUGGGAAA
Molecule: non-coding RNA, 26 nt
Filed under: Homo sapiens (human)
Lineage: Eukaryota; Metazoa; Chordata; Mammalia; Primates; Hominidae
Source: RNAcentral